RNAcentral lists this ribosomal RNA (239 nucleotides) under Staphylococcus pseudintermedius. RNAcentral describes it as "partial 23S ribosomal RNA". It matches the Rfam family "Bacterial large subunit ribosomal RNA", at positions 2687 to 2925 of the family's 2925-position model. The record is from RNAcentral. Lineage: Bacteria; Bacillati; Bacillota; Bacilli; Caryophanales; Staphylococcaceae.
GAGGACCGGGAUGGACAUACCUCUGGUGUACCAGUUGUCGUACCAACGGCAUAGCUGGGUAGCUAUGUAUGGACGGGAUAAGUGCUGAAAGCAUCUAAGCAUGAAGCCCCCCUCGAGAUGAGAUUUCCCAACUUCGGUUAUAAGAUCCCUCAAAGAUGAUGAGGUGAAUAGGUUCGAGGUGGAAGCGUAGCGAUACGUGGAGCUGACGAAUACUAAUCGAUCGAAGACUUAAUCAACAU